Molecule: long non-coding RNA, 873 nt
Filed under: Bos taurus (domestic cattle)
Lineage: Eukaryota; Metazoa; Chordata; Mammalia; Artiodactyla; Bovidae
Description: long non-coding RNA NONBTAT018530
Source: RNAcentral
GAGCUUUCAGUUUUCUAUACAAAUAUAAUAAAUACCAUGGAUAUCCUUCGAGACUGUGAUAUUCACCUUUUAGAAUUUUAUUUUAAUUUCUCGCAGUAGUUUUAUUUUUCACAGAUGGUAAUUAUUUGCAACAUUCAUGAAUGUUUUACCUCCUUUUACUAUCCUGAAAGCUUUUUCCAGUAAAUCGAGAAAUGGUCCCAAAGCAGAAGGAGAACUGAGGGGGGCAAACUGGCCUGCUUAAUUCACAAGCUGGGUAACUGACAACCCAAGGUUGUAAGUUAGAUAUGUUUUGCUUUUAAAGUCAUAAUCUGAGGCUGUAUUUGGAUAAAAUAGGUUCUUCCCUAAAUUAUUGCUAGUUACUGGAUUCUUUGUGACUACCAAACACUCAUAUUCCAAUGGAUACUCUUCCAUGGUAAUUGCAUCCCAAAGGAGAGUUAUUGUCUGUGGGAAAAGAGGAUAAGGAUGUCAGGAUGAAGGAAAUCACAGUGUAGCUCUGAGUGUUUAUGACACCAUUUUGUGAAUUCCUAAAUAUGUUUAGAAUUUUGGAGAAUAAAUAAUGCUGAAAUUGGGAUAUUAAUAAAAUCAUUGUAAGAAUGAUCAGCAAGUAGGCCUUUUCAUGGAGCAAUUUUCGUCAUUUUUUUGGCUCAGAUUCAUGAUUUGUUCAUGAAUGAGACACAGUUUCAAAGGUCUGAUGUAUGAUAUCAGUCCAGUUUCUUGGCCACUCACUUGCGUUAGCUUAAAUCACAGUGGUGACUUAAUUUGCUAGAGUGAAAAGAAUGUCUAACAUGUCUCCCCCUAGGAAAAAAUAUUUUAAAAAGAGUAACUUUACAUAUAUGAAACUACCCAGUUAGUUAUUAACAAUCAAAUUUGAUU